AUAUUUAUGUAUUCAUAUGUUGUCUUUGUCUAUUAAAUAUGAAACUGUUUUAUGAAUUUUGGUCAUUUGUUAUAUGAGCAAAUACAUUGCUUGGCAAAUCGUCAUCACUGGUCAUUUUUAGGUUUCUUAUACCUGUCAUUUAUUGAAUUUACUGUUUCGUUGUAUUGUCAGUAUGCUGUCAGAAGUCCUGGAGCGAAAGCACAGGCCGAACCCUCUCUACCAGUAACGUAAAUGGCUGAGCUAGCAGGGUUUAAUGUCAUGAGACAGAUUAUGAAUGAGAAUACGUUUACACACGAAAACCCAUUUACGUUGCAUUGGCGCCCAACGUGGGGCCCAGCUUUACUAGAGUCCCCCCGAUUUGCUAGCUUUAGGACCUUUCAUUUCAUUUUCGAACUUCCGCACCUCAUUACUUUGAUUUUAUUUUAAUCUCGAGAAAAUUGGUAGCGACAGUGGAAGGCUGAGCUUGUAAUAUAAAUUGUAUAGCUUGUCAGAUUUUUUCACCGGCUGUGUAACAUAAUGUUGUUAUCAUUCAUUUCAUGUUCAUAAAAAAAAAAAAAAAAAAAAAAGUUUAUUUCGUAAUGUUUUUUUUUUUUACCUUGCCGACAGUGUAUGUAUUUGUCGUGCCUCCUUAUCUGCGAAGUAUAACUAUAGUCGAACGUUUAUAUUGAUGGAUUUAUUUCUAUGGACAAUCUGUAUGUUGAAAGGUUGGUUCUGACACCUGACCAAGGUCAGAACCAACGUAUGUGAAUUAUAUUCUUGACUGCAGCAAGGAUGCGUUAUGCUGAAGAACUAUUUUAUAUAUGUGCGGAAUAACGGAAUUUGGACUAUUUACAGUCAUUGUGUGUCAUGAACUGAUACUUCGUUAAGAUAAGGGGGGUACGAAACCUUUGUUUUUGUAUGUUGGCAAAUUUGAUUAUUUGUGGAUUGUUUUUAUAAAAAGUCAUAUUCAUUGAUAGGUUGUUUUAUGUUGUAAAUUUACGUAUUGAGUGAUUUUUUUUUUUACAAGUCCGUGCAUAGACUUGUUGUGAAUAAGGGAUUGUUUUCUACACAGUCGGUGCCUUCAUACUCGAAUAUAUCUAUUAUAUAUUAUUUGCUAUUAAGGGGUUUAGUAUACGCGUUUUUUUCAGGGUUAUUCUAUUUAUUCAGAUGUUCAUUUUUUAUGAAUUGACUUCAGAUUUGCGUCUUGCGUGAAUGGUCAAUUUUGCCUGCGCAUGGACGUUAAUCUUAGUCAAACGUAUUCAUUGGGAGGAAUUUAAACUUAACUCAAGUAAUUUGGGAAGGUAAUAACCUGAUAUGUUAUGUAAAAAUUAUUGAGUUUGGUGAUGAAAGUUGGCCUUCCACUGGUGCUCUUUUUAAUAAUGAUAAUAGAUUUACGGUGUCUUGUGAUGACAUAUGUUUAUUUAUAUAUAUGGUAAAAGAUUAUUGCAGUGUAGAUUGCAUGUGAUGAUGAUAUAUAGAAAAAGUCAGUGUGCUGAACUCAAUUUUAGAGGUGCAUAAAAAAAAGUACACGAAUACAUUAUUUUUAAUCUUAUUCAUGUAAAUCAUAUACAUGACAGUAAAUACAUGAUUUUAUGAUUCACCCAUGCACAUGACCAGUUGAACAUUAGUAUACAGUUGAAACUGCCUGGAUAUAAUAGGCACAUAGAAAGUAUUAGCUUUGCUCUGGCCAUACAUCGCUACCAUAAGCUUUGGUGGUGCAGUAGUUUUAAGCUGAAUAUAGAUGAUUUAUGAAUAAUAUUGAUACGUGAACUAAGAUUCACAGUAUGGCAGUAUACAUAUAGAUAUAUAUAGAGUCAUGGGUGAAAAAAAAAAUGCACUCUGAAAUAAAAGAAUAGCAUUUGCACGUGAUUGUUAUCUUUCUUAUGCUUUAAUAGUUUGCUUACUGUACUUCUGAAGUUGGGUUUAGUACACACAUCAUAC
Molecule: long non-coding RNA, 1920 nt
Filed under: Mytilus galloprovincialis (Mediterranean mussel)
Lineage: Eukaryota; Metazoa; Mollusca; Bivalvia; Mytilida; Mytilidae
Source: RNAcentral